GCGCUUGCUUUGGCAGCACAUAUACUAAAAUUGGAACGAUACAGAGAUUAGCAUGGCCCCUGUGCAAGGAUGACACCCAAUUUCAUGAAGGGUUCCAUAUUAAA
Small nuclear RNA from Jaculus jaculus (lesser Egyptian jerboa), 104 nucleotides. Lineage: Eukaryota; Metazoa; Chordata; Mammalia; Rodentia; Dipodidae. The record is from Ensembl.